CUACAGGCUUAACACAUGCAAGUCGAGGGGCAGCAUUUUAGUUUGCUUGCAAACUGAAGAUGGCGACCGGCGCACGGGUGAGUAACACGUAUCCAACCUGCCGAUAACUCCGGAAUAGCCUUUCGAAAGAAAGAUUAAUACCGGAUAGCAUACGAAUAUCGCAUGAUAUUUUUAUUAAAGAAUUUCGGUUAUCGAUGGGGAUGCGUUCCAUUAGUUUGUUGGCGGGGUAACGGCCCACCAAGACAACGAUGGAUAGGGGUUCUGAGAGGAAGGUCCCCCACAUUGGAACUGAGACACGGUCCAAACUCCUACGGGAGGCAGCAGUGAGGAAUAUUGGUCAAUGGGCGAGAGCCUGAACCAGCCAAGUAGCGUGAAGGAUGAAGGCUCUAUGGGUCGUAAACUUCUUUUAUAUGGGAAUAAAGUUUUCCACGUGUGGAAUUUUGUAUGUACCAUAUGAAUAAGGAUCGGCUAACUCCGUGCCAGCAGCCGCGGUAAUACGGAGGAUCCGAGCGUUAUCCGGAUUUAUUGGGUUUAAAGGGAGCGUAGGUGGAUUGUUAAGUCAGUUGUGAAAGUUUGCGGCUCAACCGUAAAAUUGCAGUUGAAACUGGCAGUCUUGAGUACAGUAGAGGUGGGCGGAAUUCGUGGUGUAGCGGUGAAAUGCUUAGAUAUCACGAAGAACUCCGAUUGCGAAGGCAGCUCACUAGACUGUCACUGACACUGAUGCUCGAAAGUGUGGGUAUCAAACAGGAUUAGAUACCCUGGUAGUCCACACAGUAAACGAUGAAUACUCGCUGUUUGCGAUAUACAGUAAGCGGCCAAGCGAAAGCAUUAAGUAUUCCACCUGGGGAGUACGCCGGCAACGGUGAAACUCAAAGGAAUUGACGGGGGCCCGCACAAGCGGAGGAACAUGUGGUUUAAUUCGAUGAUACGCGAGGAACCUUACCCGGGCUUAAAUUGCAACAGAAUAUAUUGGAAACAGUAUAGCCGUAAGGCUGUUGUGAAGGUGCUGCAUGGUUGUCGUCAGCUCGUGCCGUGAGGUGUCGGCUUAAGUGCCAUAACGAGCGCAACCCUUAUCUUUAGUUACUAACAGGUGAUGCUGAGGACUCUAGAGAGACUGCCGUCGUAAGAUGUGAGGAAGGUGGGGAUGACGUCAAAUCAGCACGGCCCUUACGUCCGGGGCUACACACGUGUUACAAUGGGGGGUACAGAAGGCGGCUACCUGGUGACAGGAUGCUAAUCUCAAAAACCUCUCUCAGUUCGGAUCGAAGUCUGCAACCCGACUUCGUGAAGCUGGAUUCGCUAGUAAUCGCGCAUCAGCCAUGGCGCGGUGAAUACGUUCCCGGGCCUUGUACACACCGCCCGUCAAGCCAUGAAAGCCGGGGGUACCUGAAGUACGUAACCGCAAGGAGCGUCCUAGGGUAAAACUGGUAAUUGGGGCUA
RNAcentral lists this ribosomal RNA (1440 nucleotides) under uncultured organism. RNAcentral describes it as "SSU rRNA". It matches the Rfam family "Bacterial small subunit ribosomal RNA". The record is from RNAcentral.